GUUGGGCCAGUAACCAGCAGGUAGCCUAGGGGUUAGAGUGUUGUGCCAUUAACCAGCAGGUAGCCUAGUGGUUGGAGUGUUGGGCCGAUAACCAGCAGGUAGCCUAGUGGUUAGAGCGUUGGACUAGUAACCAGCAGGUAGCCUAGUGGUUAGAGUGUUGGGCCAGUAACCAGCAGGUAGCCUAGUGGUUAGAGUGUUGGGCCAGUAACCAGCAGGUAGCCUAGUGGUUAGAGCGUUGGGCCAGUAACCAGCAGGUAGCCUAGUGGUUAGAGUGUCGGGCCAGUAACCAGCAGGUAGCCUAGUGGUUGGAGUGUUGGGCCAGUAACCAGCAGGUAGCCUAGUGGUUAGAGUGUCGGGCAGUAACCAGCAGGUAGCCUAGUGGUUAGAGCAUUGGGCCAGUAACCAGCAGGUAUACUAGUGGUUAGAGCAUUGGGCCAGUAACCAGCAGGUAGCCU
Long non-coding RNA from Oncorhynchus tshawytscha (Chinook salmon), 455 nucleotides. NCBI's taxonomy places the organism in Eukaryota, Metazoa, Chordata, Actinopteri, Salmoniformes, Salmonidae. The record is from Ensembl.